RNAcentral lists this ribosomal RNA (706 nucleotides) under biofilm metagenome. RNAcentral's name for it is "bacterial SSU rRNA". It matches the Rfam family "Archaeal small subunit ribosomal RNA", at positions 597 to 1301 of the family's 1478-position model. The record is from RNAcentral.
AGGCGGGAGAGGCAAGCGGUACUCAGUGGGUAGGGGUAAAAUCCUCUGAUCCACUGAAGACCACCAGUGGCGAAGGCGGCUUGCCAGAACGCGCUCGACGGUGAGGGAUGAAAGCUGGGGGAGCAAACCGGAUUAGAUACCCGGGUAGUCCCAGCUGUAAACGAUGCAGACUCGGUGAUGCAUUGGCUUGUGGCCAAUGCAGUGCCGCAGGGAAGCCGUUAAGUCUGCCGCCUGGGAAGUACGUACGCAAGUAUGAAACUUAAAGGAAUUGGUGGGGGAGCACCACAAGGGGUGAAGCCUGCGGUUCAAUUGGAGUCAACGCCAGAAAUCUUACCUGGGGCGACAGCAGAAUGAAGGUCAAGCUGAAGACUUUACCAGACAAGCUGAGAGGUGGUGCAUGGCCGUCGCCAGCUCGUGCCGUGAGAUGUCCUGUUAAGUCAGGUAACGAGCGAGACCCCUGCGUCUAGUUGCUACCAUUACUCUCUGGAGUAGUGGAGCGAAUUAGACGGACCGCCACAGUUAAUGUGGAGGAAGGAAGGGGCCACGGCAGGUCAGUAUGCCCCGAAACCCUAGGGCUACACGCGGGCUGCAAUGGUAUUGACAAUGUGUUCCGAAUCCGAAAGGAGGAGGCAAUCAUUAAACAAUAUCUCAGUUAUGACUGAGGGCUGUAACUCGCCCUCACGAAUAUGGAAUCCCUAGUAACCGC